RNAcentral lists this transfer RNA (65 nucleotides) under Anopheles fluviatilis T. Its description in RNAcentral is "tRNA-His". The record is from RNAcentral. Lineage: Eukaryota; Metazoa; Arthropoda; Insecta; Diptera; Culicidae.
UAUUUAAAUAGUUUAAUAAAAAUAUUGAUUUGUGGUGUCAAUGAUAUGAAUUUUCAUUUUAGAUC